UUCAGCUCCCCCAACAUCUCUGGGUUGGAAAGCAUGUGGGAGAGAAGAGAAUGAGAAUGGUCAUGACUGACUGAAGAGUCCUUUUUCCCUUAUCAGUGUGGAGCCUAGGUUUAUUGCUCCAUGCAUUUUUAACGCAAUAGACUGACUCCAAUGCACAGGCAGCUUUGAACUUCGAAGCAAGAGCUUCCUCACCUUUUCUACCCCAUAAAUCUCAGGAAUGAAACCUGUACAGAUAUUUUUGCUGUUGGCUAAAGUUUUGGUAUGAUCUCCAAACAGAAACAGCUCAUUAAGGCGUGCAUACUGCUCUGUCUACUGAAACUGCCUUCCAACCCAACAUACAAGCAUGUAUGUGUGAGUAAUAACACAGAGAACAACUCCCAGCACUUCAGGUGAGUCAGGAUCUGAAACAACUGCAUGUCAAGUGGAACAUUUGGAUUUCUAGGCUGGGCAACAGGAAAAGCCUGCAGUGAGCCUGGAAGAAAUUC
Long non-coding RNA from Gallus gallus (chicken), 485 nucleotides. The record is from Ensembl. NCBI's taxonomy places the organism in Eukaryota, Metazoa, Chordata, Aves, Galliformes, Phasianidae.